AUGACAUGCAUUUCGAAAACCAUGAGUUCGAGGUGGACGAGGAGGGUGAGGGCAUUGUCGACGCACCGAAAGGAAGAGCGGGCAAUUACACCAACGCCGAUGACAUCUUACUAUGCAAUACUUGGUUGCAAGUGUCGAGGGAUCCAUCCGUUGGAGGUGAUCAAAGUAGAGAUGCUUAUUGGCUUCAGAUGA
RNAcentral lists this ribosomal RNA (192 nucleotides) under Triticum aestivum (bread wheat). Its description in RNAcentral is "partial small subunit ribosomal RNA". Lineage: Eukaryota; Viridiplantae; Streptophyta; Magnoliopsida; Poales; Poaceae. The record is from RNAcentral.